Rattus norvegicus (Norway rat) is the source of this 612-nucleotide non-coding RNA. The record is from RefSeq and is a predicted model, not a curated record. Lineage: Eukaryota; Metazoa; Chordata; Mammalia; Rodentia; Muridae.
AGUCAGCAUUAUCUAGAAGGGUCCCGCGCUACGUCUCGCCAGCAGGAACGACGCGGCACACACAGGAUCCUACUACAGAAAAGCUUUAAUGCGUCUUGAGAGGGAGAGCAUAAGCUUACAAUGCGGAGACGGAGAGUGAGGAAUAACUGUCCCUUAUAUAGGAAACUAUCCUCGCCUAGGACGUGUCACUCUCUGACUGGUCGCUGCCAAUUAUGCCAGAUGACGUACCAAAACGUACGUGUCCCUUUGAGUAGGGACGUUACCAGGCGCCUGCGUAUUGCCCUUUUUACUAGGCUGUUUGACAAGCCGAUGCCCACAAGCCAUCUAAUUUCAGUGUGAGUGACACGUGCGUGCUCUGACCCAGAAGCCACCUACUGCACACAUUCUACAUCUCCUAGGAAGCAUCCUCCUCGGGCUGUCUAGAAACUGAAGCUGGUAAACUGAAAGACUCAGUUCAGCCUAGGGUGGCCGUAGAAGUGGGAAACAACGCGACAACUUCUUUAGGUUUUCAUCGUGUCUCAGAAGGUGACUUGGCGGUGAAAUAUGAACUAAUGACUCUUACCACAGUCAUCUCACAGAACAAGAUAAAAUUUAUUCCUCUAUUUUUAUUAA